AGGUCUUGACAUCUUUUGAUCACCUGAGAGAUCAGGUUUCCCCUUCGGGGGGCAAAAUGAC
RNAcentral lists this ribosomal RNA (61 nucleotides) under uncultured organism. RNAcentral describes it as "partial 16S ribosomal RNA". The record is from RNAcentral.